CAAGCUAACAGCAUUUUAGAACUAACAUAACAGCCACUCAGAACAAACCUGACAGUUUCUCAGUGUCAAGCUAACAGCUACUCGUGACGAAGGUUACUGCUACUCUUGGUGUAGCUAACAGCUAACUGGAGACAAGCUAACAGCUACUCGUUACAAAGCGUUUAAAUGGGAGAGAGCUUGACUGGAGAGCUAACGGUGCGAUGGAGAGGUUUAAAUUGGAUCCUGCAGCCGACAAGACAGGACCCAGGAGCAGAGGUGCGGAUCAGCAGCGAUCUCCGGCUCUGCUCCCAUAAAUAAGUCACACAGCGAGGUCUCGCUCCAGGUAUCAUCCAGGGAAAAGAGCAGCAGCUCCUCAAGGACAAGCUUGUCCCUGUCUCUACUCUUGUCUUAAUUAUGUUUUCACAAGUCUUUCUGAAAACCUUCACAGACAUCCUGAACUUUUCAGCGUCUUUCAAUUUUGUGCGAAUAAAAGAGGAGAUCCUUCAAA
This is a long non-coding RNA of Girardinichthys multiradiatus, 487 nucleotides long. RefSeq lists it as uncharacterized. Lineage: Eukaryota; Metazoa; Chordata; Actinopteri; Cyprinodontiformes; Goodeidae. The record is from RefSeq and is a predicted model, not a curated record. The transcript is spliced from 2 exons.